CUUCAAUCUAGACGAGUCAUGAAUACUAGUAAUAACGAAUUGAGUAAUCCAAUGUACAAUUUCUGUUCACUUGCUGCUGUGCCUUUUUGUUGUGCCCACGUUGUGGCUGAGUUUGCAUUUUUCCUACCAGUGUUAUGUACACCAACGCGUGUCUGAGGAUUAUCCCAUGCAAGGGGUGAUAAACUUAUCUCAAAUGUGAUGAUGAUACUUUGAGGAUUAUUGUGUGCAGAGUUGAAGGUAAUAUAAAAUCUAUUGGAAUCAUAACUUAACUUUUAUAUACUUCUUACGAAUUUAUAACGCAAUCUGUAAAAUAAAAAUUGAGAUCAAAAAGCUCCAUAUGCCAUAGGCCAAGGAAUGCACAGUUGGAAACUUUGAUAGAUUUUAAAUUAAAAAUUUAAGAACAGCAAAUAGAUUUUAUAUUCCUCAAAUCAUAGAAAACUCUAAACCAACAGAAGAAUACAUGGCUUGCACCAAUUCAAUAAUAUGGACCGCAUGAAAAAACGAUACAACUUAAUUAUAGAGUUCAAAAAUCUCUUGGCAGUAAUACGGCUAACAAAUCAUUUUCAAUGAAUCAUGAAUAGAAGCAGUGAAUCAUACAACCAUGGAAUUUAAAUUCACAGGAUAUUAAUACAGACACACAAAACAGUAUAAACACAGAAUUGAUGGAAUAAAAAAUGGCACGAACACUUAAUUGAAAACCCUGGAAAUACGAUUUUACUGUAAAUUAAGCUUCAUAAAUUACAGAUUUUCAUUGUUCUUAAAAAACAGAUUACCAUUGUUCUAGAAAAAACUCUCUCCGAAAAAAUAUUAAAAAAAUUCA
This is a long non-coding RNA of Malaya genurostris, 820 nucleotides long. RefSeq lists it as uncharacterized. The transcript has 3 exons. The record is from RefSeq and is a predicted model, not a curated record. Lineage: Eukaryota; Metazoa; Arthropoda; Insecta; Diptera; Culicidae.